This 495-nucleotide ribosomal RNA is filed under the name uncultured bacterium. RNAcentral describes it as "partial 16S ribosomal RNA". It matches the Rfam family "Bacterial small subunit ribosomal RNA", at positions 28 to 507 of the family's 1533-position model. The record is from RNAcentral.
GAUGAACGCUGGCGGCGUGCCUAAUACAUGCAAGUCGAGCGAACAGAUGAGGAGCUUGCUCCUCUGACGUUAGCGGCGGACGGGUGAGUAACACGUGGAUAACCUACCUAUAAGACUGGGAUAACUUCGGGAAACCGGAGCUAAUACCGGAUAAUAUAUUGAACCGCAUGGUUCAAUAGUGAAAGACGGUUUUGCUGUCACUUAUAGAUGGAUCCGCGCCGCAUUAGCUAGUUGGUAAGGUAACGGCUUACCAAGGCAACGAUGCGUAGCCGACCUGAGAGGGUGAUCGGCCACACUGGAACUGAGACACGGUCCAGACUCCUACGGGAGGCAGCAGUAGGGAAUCUUCCGCAAUGGGCGAAAGCCUGACGGAGCAACGCCGCGUGAGUGAUGAAGGUCUUCGGAUCGUAAAACUCUGUUAUUAGGGAAGAACAAAUGUGUAAGUAACUAUGCACGUCUUGACGGUACCUAAUCAGAAAGCCACGGCUCUACGUG